Molecule: ribosomal RNA, 521 nt
Filed under: ascomycete sp. RM6-2
Lineage: Eukaryota; Fungi; Ascomycota
Description: eukaryotic LSU rRNA
Rfam family: 5.8S ribosomal RNA (bases 149-302)
Source: RNAcentral
UCAUUACCUAGAGUUGCGGGCUUUGCCUGCCAUCUCUUACCCAUGUCUUUUGAGUACCUUCGUUUCCUCGGGCGGGUUCGCCCGCCGGUUGGACAACACUUAAACCCUUUGUAAUUGAAAUCAGCGUCUGAAAAACUUUAAUAGUUACAACUUUCAACAACGGAUCUCUUGGUUCUGGCAUCGAUGAAGAACGCAGCGAAAUGCGAUAAGUAGUGUGAAUUGCAGAAUUCAGUGAAUCAUCGAAUCUUUGAACGCACAUUGCGCCCCUUGGUAUUCCAUGGGGCAUGCCUGUUCGAGCGUCAUUUGUACCUUCAAGCUCUGCUUGGUGUUGGGUGUUUGUCUCGCCUUUUGCGCGCAGACUCGCCUCAAAACGAUUGGCAGCCGGCGUAUUGAUUUCGGAGCGCAGUACAUCUCGCGCUUUGCACUCACAACGACGACGUCCAAAAAGUACAUUUUUACACUCUUGACCUCGGAUCAGGUAGGGAUACCCGCUGAACUUAAGCAUAUCAAUAAGCGGAGGA